Molecule: ribosomal RNA, 1032 nt
Filed under: Lactiplantibacillus plantarum
Lineage: Bacteria; Bacillati; Bacillota; Bacilli; Lactobacillales; Lactobacillaceae
Description: bacterial SSU rRNA
Rfam family: Bacterial small subunit ribosomal RNA
Source: RNAcentral
AAGGGUUUCGGCUCGUAAAACUCUGUUGUUAAAGAAGAACAUAUCUGAGAGUAACUGUUCAGGUAUUGACGGUAUUUAACCAGAAAGCCACGGCUAACUACGUGCCAGCAGCCGCGGUAAUACGUAGGUGGCAAGCGUUGUCCGGAUUUAUUGGGCGUAAAGCGAGCGCAGGCGGUUUUUUAAGUCUGAUGUGAAAGCCUUCGGCUCAACCGAAGAAGUGCAUCGGAAACUGGGAAACUUGAGUGCAGAAGAGGACAGUGGAACUCCAUGUGUAGCGGUGAAAUGCGUAGAUAUAUGGAAGAACACCAGUGGCGAAGGCGGCUGUCUGGUCUGUAACUGACGCUGAGGCUCGAAAGUAUGGGUAGCAAACAGGAUUAGAUACCCUGGUAGUCCAUACCGUAAACGAUGAAUGCUAAGUGUUGGAGGGUUUCCGCCCUUCAGUGCUGCAGCUAACGCAUUAAGCAUUCCGCCUGGGGAGUACGGCCGCAAGGCUGAAACUCAAAGGAAUUGACGGGGGCCCGCACAAGCGGUGGAGCAUGUGGUUUAAUUCGAAGCUACGCGAAGAACCUUACCAGGUCUUGACAUACUAUGCAAAUCUAAGAGAUUAGACGUUCCCUUCGGGGACAUGGAUACAGGUGGUGCAUGGUUGUCGUCAGCUCGUGUCGUGAGAUGUUGGGUUAAGUCCCGCAACGAGCGCAACCCUUAUUAUCAGUUGCCAGCAUUAAGUUGGGCACUCUGGUGAGACUGCCGGUGACAAACCGGAGGAAGGUGGGGAUGACGUCAAAUCAUCAUGCCCCUUAUGACCUGGGCUACACACGUGCUACAAUGGAUGGUACAACGAGUUGCGAACUCGCGAGAGUAAGCUAAUCUCUUAAAGCCAUUCUCAGUUCGGAUUGUAGGCUGCAACUCGCCUACAUGAAGUCGGAAUCGCUAGUAAUCGCGGAUCAGCAUGCCGCGGUGAAUACGUUCCCGGGCCUUGUACACACCGCCCGUCACACCAUGAGAGUUUGUAACACCCAAAGUCGGUGGGGU